This 477-nucleotide small RNA is filed under the name Rattus norvegicus (Norway rat). Its description in RNAcentral is "uncharacterized LOC103694561". Lineage: Eukaryota; Metazoa; Chordata; Mammalia; Rodentia; Muridae. The record is from RNAcentral.
CACAAGCAAUUCAGCUGGCUAUCAUAAGGCAGAGAACGAGCUAUUAGGUUCUUUUCAAAGACUAUUCUAUGUUCUUUGUUACAACCGCUGUUACCAGAUUCUAAAUUAGUAAACGUAACAGAAAACUGCCAUGAACCUUGAAUUCAUUUUUCUUGGCAGCAUUGUGCUUGCAACCAUUUUUGUCUUCCUGAAGAUUUUACUAGAGGAUACUUUGCCAUAAAGAUCACAGACAUUGCUGGAGAAUACCGCUGAAGUUCUCUAGAUAACACUAUAUGAAUGGACACCAAAGUUAACAUUUCAUAUAGCUGUAAGGACAACACCUUCUAUGUAAAACAAGAACGAUGCUGUGACUCUUCUGGUGAACAAUUUCAAUCAUAUUAUGGUGACUACCUCCCAUAUUCAAUACCCAUGUUCAGGCAAAUUGUAGUUCAUUUGGACAUCAUAGAAUGACUACUGGCUCGAAUAAAGAAAAAUAAA